Non-coding RNA from Schistocerca piceifrons (Central American locust), 76 nucleotides. NCBI's taxonomy places the organism in Eukaryota, Metazoa, Arthropoda, Insecta, Orthoptera, Acrididae. The record is from the annotation of a RefSeq genome assembly.
GGCCCGUUAGCUCAGUUGGUUAGAAGCGUCGUGCUAAUAACGCGAAGGUCGUGGUGUUCGAUCCCCCCACGGGCCA